GUGGGAUCCACAGAAGUCAUGAAAACAAUAAUAGAUUAUAAAAGAGGUAUUUAUGAAUUACGUAUAGGCUAUAGGCUUAGUAUGUACAUUAACAGACAUUUACAAAGGAAAAAAUAAUAAUUCACUCUGAAAUAUAGUAACGGAUUUCUUCCUUUCACUUUGUGUGUGUGUGUGUGCAUGUGAAGAAUGUUAUUUUUUUAAUUGUAUUUUUUCAUUGUCACAGGUUUUAAAGUGAGAGUUUCUCAUUUGUUUUCCACUUAGGAUUGUUUACUCAUUCCUGGGAGCUGUGUUCACAAUGAGUGGAAUCACUUCGACGUCUCCUGUUUGUUUGGUUUGGUGUUUGCUGUGGUCAGGAAGUACCUGCCCUCCCAGAGACUGCCCCAGGUUGGAUUUUUUAAAGUUGGCUUUGCAGAUCUUAGGUGGGAUCAUGAGUGGGGCUCUUCCUUGUAUAUUUAUAUCUAAAUGUUGAACACAUGAUAACUCUUAGCAGCCCAGAAAAUUGCCUGAGCUCUCAGUGUCAUAUGCAUAAGCGUCACAUGUAUUGGAGAAGCCUGAACCUUCUUACUGGUCAGACUAGGGACAUGGGGUCAAACCACAUGGUGGCUGAGUGUGGAAUGGGGGUUAAUAAGCAUUCAUUCUGGUCUGACCUUUUGGGAGUUUCUUUUUCCCAUCUGCAGAAGAAGAGGUUGCAUUAGAUGAAAUGAAAACUCAUGCCAACUCAAGUGCUAUAAUUUCACUUGGAUCUCUGGAUCUAGACAUGGAAACUGCUCCUUGUACCAAACACUACUGCCAUCUUUUCGGGCCACAAAAUGUCCGGUUUCAACCUGCUCUGGAGCAUCGGGUGCCAGGAUGGCUUACAAUUUCGUGGAGAGAAAUUGUUCAAGUAAUUAAACAAAAAUCAUCAAAAAUCAGCCCUCGGGUUAUUCAGAGCAAUCUAUCUACCCGCAGAAGACACUGACAGAAAAUCUUAAAUUCUUCUUCUUAAGACACCUACCUCAUACACAAAGAUAAGUGUAUUUAAUCUACUUUGUAUCCUGCUUUAUUUCAUAUAACAUUAUAUUCUAAACAUUUUCAAUAUUUUGACAAAUUAUGAUAAUCAAUUUAAAAGGGUACAUAAUACAUAAAGUAUUUUAAUUUACAUAUAGCAUCAUACCUAACAGAUAUAAAAAUGUUGGUCUA
This 1179-nucleotide long non-coding RNA is filed under the name Sus scrofa (pig). Its description in RNAcentral is "lncRNA (ENSSSCG00070017172.1)". Lineage: Eukaryota; Metazoa; Chordata; Mammalia; Artiodactyla; Suidae. The record is from RNAcentral.